Long non-coding RNA from Salvelinus namaycush (lake trout), 671 nucleotides. RefSeq lists it as uncharacterized. The record is from RefSeq and is a predicted model, not a curated record. NCBI's taxonomy places the organism in Eukaryota, Metazoa, Chordata, Actinopteri, Salmoniformes, Salmonidae. The transcript is spliced from 6 exons.
UCUCCUUCAAGGUCACCCAAGUUGAGGUAUACGUCGAAGGUAUCAACGACAACGAAAGCGAACCUUAAUCGAACCUAACCUAACCUACAUGGAUAAGAAUAUAAACCAUGGACAAACAUUGCUCGGAUCUUGUCCCCUGGACCUUGGAGGACUUUGGUGUGGAUGAUGUUCAGUACACUCUGUACAUUACAAUGGAAGCACAGUGUGAUUUCACUGAGGUCUGAAGAAGAGAGGUUGAAAGAUCGAAAAAGGCGGUGAAAACAAAACACACUACAGAUGAUACUGAAAACGAAAUGCACGGCGAACUGGAAGCUGUGAACUGGGAAGCAGAUGUUCUUUUAAGGGACACCCUGGAGGCAGCAAGGUGGUGUGAACUCCAAACAUUUAAAGGCACUGUUUCCCUCCCUAGUGUAAUUGGGAUGGACGGGGAAGACCGCAUUUCAGCCCUUAAAGAACUACGGUUGUAUGAUGGCCUGGAUGAAGAGGAAAAUAUUCUCCUCAAGGAACAAUUCAUGUUACAGAGAGAUUAUGAGAUGUUCUAUGUGGAGGCAGUUGACAACAAGAACAUUACUGUCUUUGCCUCUUGAGGAGCAGGAGUGAAGCCAUUUUUGAGGAGUGGUCAAACCUUGUUUUUGUCUGCUGUGUUAAUUGUUUCAAUUGUUAAUUGUGUU